Long non-coding RNA from Sorghum bicolor (sorghum), 355 nucleotides. RefSeq lists it as uncharacterized. The record is from RefSeq and is a predicted model, not a curated record. Lineage: Eukaryota; Viridiplantae; Streptophyta; Magnoliopsida; Poales; Poaceae. The transcript has 3 exons.
GCCGUACAUUCGUCGUGCAGGCUUUCUUGAGAUCGUCCGGGUCUACAACAGUGGACUUCCCACUCUAGACCCUGCAGUUCUUACUGCUUUUGUUGACAGGUGGAGACCAGAGACGCACACCUUCCACACACCUUGUGGAGAAAUGACUAUCACAUUGCAGGAUGUGAAGAUGAUAUUGUGUUUGAGUUUGUCUGGUCAUCCGGUGACUGGGGUCGUCGAUGAGUCUACUUGGCUAGACUUGGUACAGGAGUUUUGUGGCAGGCGGCCAUCAGAUGCUGAAGUUAAAGGCACCAAGAAGACCUCAGGAGUCUCGACGUCUUGGAUUACGCAGAACUUUGGUGCAGGACCACCGCCU